RNAcentral lists this unclassified non-coding RNA (374 nucleotides) under uncultured Actinomycetes bacterium. Its description in RNAcentral is "uncultured actinobacterium contains 16S-23S intergenic spacer region". Lineage: Bacteria; Bacillati; Actinomycetota; Actinomycetes. The record is from RNAcentral.
UCCGGUUUGUCACCGGCAGUCUCGCAUGAGUCCCCAACUUAAUGCUGGCAACAUGCGACGGGGGUUGCGCUCGUUGCGGGACUUAACCCAACAUCUCACGACACGAGCUGACGACAACCAUGCAGCACCUAUCGCAGGCCCUUGCGGACACCGUAUUUCUACGGCUUUUCCUGCGUAGUUCAACCCAGGUAAGGUUCUUCGCGUUGCAUCGAAUUAAGCCACAUGCUCCGCCGCUUGUGCGGGCCCCCGUCAAUUCCUUUGAGUUUUAGCCUUGCGGCCGUACUCCCCAGGCGGGUCACUUAAUGCGUUAGCUCCGGCACGGAGGGAGUCGACACCCCCCACACCUAGUGACCAUCGUUUACGGCGUGGACUAC